RNAcentral lists this non-coding RNA (23 nucleotides) under Cricetulus griseus (Chinese hamster). Lineage: Eukaryota; Metazoa; Chordata; Mammalia; Rodentia; Cricetidae. The record is from RNAcentral.
UGCGGCUUAGGCUUUAUUUCUGU